This 415-nucleotide ribosomal RNA is filed under the name Globigerinoides sacculifer. RNAcentral describes it as "partial 18S ribosomal RNA". The record is from RNAcentral. Lineage: Eukaryota; Foraminifera; Rotaliida; Globigerinidae.
CAGACAGUUAACCAAAACGCAGCAGCUAGUUUAACAAAACUAACAGCUCUUUCAAGAUUAUGUGGUAGGUGGUGCAUGGCCGUUCUUAGUUCGUGAAGUGAUUCGUUCGCCCAAUCGCAUUUCCAAACAACUAACAACUCAGAAUGCUGGGCAAUAGGACGUUUAAAGUGGCUCCUUACACCUUACAAAGGAAUGGCUGAUGAGAAACAACUCGAUCCGCUCAGCGUUCUAUUGGAAUGCAACGGACGUGAUUGCAAGCUUUUGUUUUGAGUUGCGGUUUUACUGAAAGACUCUACAAUCCGCAAACUUCAAUGAUCUGAAGUAGAAAACCUACAUGCUACAGUGAGAUAUUGUGGAUAAACUUAAGCGACCGCUCCAACAUUGUGUUUUUUUAAAACUGAUGAAGGUUGCGGCA